This 850-nucleotide ribosomal RNA is filed under the name uncultured bacterium. RNAcentral describes it as "bacterial SSU rRNA". It matches the Rfam family "Bacterial small subunit ribosomal RNA", at positions 44 to 890 of the family's 1533-position model. The record is from RNAcentral.
GAGCAGUCUAACUGGCAGUCGAACGGGGUCCUAGUGCGGAAGUUUUCGGAUGGAAGGAUUAAGACUUAGUGGCGGACGGGUGAGUAACGCGUGGGUAACCUGCCCUGUACAGGGGGAUAACAGUUGGAAACGGCUGCUAAAACCGCAUAACAUGGAGGUACCGCAUGAUAUUUCCAUCAAAUAUUUAUAGGUACAGGAUGGGCCCGCGUCUGAUUAGCCAGUUGGCAGGGUAAUGGCCUACCAAAGCGACGAUCAGUAGCCGGCUUGAGAGAGUGACCGGCCACAUUGGGACUGAGACACGGCCCAAACUCCUACGGGAGGCAGCAGUGGGGGAUAUUGCACAAUGGGGGAAACCCUGAUGCAGCGACGCCGCGUGAGUGAAGAAGUAUUUCGGUAUGUAAAGCUCUAUCGGCAGGGAAGAAAAAAAUGACAGUACCUGACUAAGAAGCCCCGGCUAACUACGUGCCAGCAGCCGCGGUAAUACGUAGGGGGCAAGCGUUAUCCGGAUUUACUGGGUGUAAAGGGAGCGUAGGCGGCCACGCAAGUCAGAAGUGAAAACCCGGGGCUCAACCCUGGGAGUGCUUUUGAAACUGUGCGGCUAGAGUGUCGGAGGGGUAAGUGGAAUUCCUAGUGUAGCGGUGAAAUGCGUAGAUAUUAGGAGGAACACCAGUGGCGAAGGCGGCUUACUGGACGAUGACUGACGCUGAGGCUCGAAAGCGUGGGGAGCANACAGGAUUAGAUACCCUGGUAGUCCACGCCGUAAACGAUGAAUACUAGGUGUCGGGGGUCAUAAGACUUUCGGUGCCGUCGCACAAGGCGUAAGUAUUCCACCUGGGGAGUACGUUCCGCA